This 253-nucleotide ribosomal RNA is filed under the name uncultured bacterium. RNAcentral's name for it is "partial 16S ribosomal RNA". It matches the Rfam family "Bacterial small subunit ribosomal RNA", at positions 524 to 776 of the family's 1533-position model. The record is from RNAcentral.
CACGUAGGGCGCAAGCGUUGUCCGGAAUUAUUGGGCGUAAAGAGCUCGUAGGCGGCUUGUUGCGUCGUCCGUGAAAACCUGUGGCUCAACUACAGGCUUGCGGUCGAUACGGGCGGGCUGGAGUUCGGUAGGGGAGACUGGAAUUCCUGGUGUAGCGGUGAAAUGCGCAGAUAUCAGGAGGAACACCGGUGGCGAAGGCGGGUCUCUGGGCCGAUACUGACGCUGAGGAGCGAAAGCGUGGGGAGCGAACAGG